GGGGCUGUGGCUGUGUGGAAGGACUUCUGCUUUGCAUGCAGAAGGUUUCUGGUUCAAUUCCCGGUAUCUCCA
RNAcentral lists this transfer RNA (72 nucleotides) under Sphaerodactylus townsendi. Its description in RNAcentral is "tRNA-Ala". It matches the Rfam family "tRNA". From Rfam's summary of the family: Transfer RNA (tRNA) molecules are approximately 80 nucleotides in length. Their secondary structure includes four short double-helical elements and three loops (D, anti-codon, and T loops). Further hydrogen bonds mediate the characteristic L-shaped molecular structure. tRNAs have two regions of fundamental functional importance: the anti-codon, which is responsible for specific mRNA codon recognition, and the 3' end, to which the tRNAs corresponding amino acid is attached (by aminoacyl-tRNA synthetases). tRNAs cope with the degeneracy of the genetic code in two manners: having more than one tRNA (with a specific anti-codon) for a particular amino acid; and 'wobble' base-pairing, i.e. permitting non-standard base-pairing at the 3rd anti-codon position. Lineage: Eukaryota; Metazoa; Chordata; Lepidosauria; Squamata; Sphaerodactylidae. The record is from RNAcentral.